Molecule: ribosomal RNA, 448 nt
Filed under: uncultured soil bacterium
Lineage: Bacteria
Description: bacterial SSU rRNA
Rfam family: Bacterial small subunit ribosomal RNA
Source: RNAcentral
GAAUUCGAUUAACGCGAAGAACCUUACCUGGGCUCGAAAUGCAGAUGACAACCGAUGAAAGUCGGCUCCCGCAAGGGCGUCUGUAUAGGUGCUGCAUGGCUGUCGUCAGCUCGUGCCGUGAGGUGUUGGGUUAAGUCCCGCAACGAGCGCAACCCUCGUCCUUAGUUGCCACCAUUCAGUUGGGCACUCUAGGGAGACUGCCGGCGUUAAGCCGGAGGAAGGUGGGGACGACGUCAAGUCAUCAUGGCCCUUAUGUCCAGGGCCACACACGUGCUACAAUGGGCGGUACAAAGGGUUGCAAACCCGCGAGGGGGAGCUAAUCCCAAAAAGCCGCUCUCAGUUCGGAUUGGAGUCUGCAACUCGACUCCAUGAAGUUGGAAUCGCUAGUAAUCGCGGAUCAGCACGCCGCGGUGAAUACGUUCCCGGGCCUUGUCACACCGAAUCACUA